Molecule: long non-coding RNA, 3249 nt
Filed under: Sus scrofa (pig)
Lineage: Eukaryota; Metazoa; Chordata; Mammalia; Artiodactyla; Suidae
Description: lncRNA (ENSSSCG00160017774.1)
Source: RNAcentral
UUUUUAUUUUUUGUUCAAUCUGUCCACUAGUUUCUUGAACACAGAGAAUACCAUUAUAGUAACUGUUUUAUACCUUUUUUUAAGUUAAUUCUGUCAUCUAAUCUUUUUUGGGUCCAUUUCAGUUGAAUGAUAUUUCUCAUUAUGGGACUUAAGUAGCAUUUGCUCUAGGUCCAGUUUUUUUCCAGUACUGAAGCAAAAUCCUUCUUAGUACUAUACUUGAGAACUCAUUCAUGAAUUAUGAGGUUUCCUACACUGGGUAUUCUCAGCCCUGUUUGAGUUCCAAAUACUGUUCCCUCUAAUUCUUUUGGAUGCUUCUUUCCCCAACCUUGUUAACUCCUUUACACAAAUGCAAAGGUCAGUAACCAAGCGAAUAUUCAACUGGGGACCCUCGGCAGUUUUCCCAGAGCUCUGUCUCUCUGCAGCUCUCUCCUCUCCAGUACGCUGUCCUGAAACUCUGUCUCCCCAGACCCUUGGAUGAUUCUCCUCAACUGUCUGAGAGCUGUGGGUUCUGCCUGCAUCCUCCUCCCUGGGCUCUUUCUCCAGGCAGAAAACUGAAGCACCGGAAGGACUCAUCUUGCUUGGUGUUGUUUUGUUUUGUUUCUGGUUUUGCUGCGCAAAUCCAAGUCAGUGCCUUCUCCACUGCUAAGGGUUGUUAGAGUCCUCCUCUUCCUGGCACGGAGAGGGAGAUGGCUCUACAAAUAGAUAUUUCCUUUCUAAGUGUAAAUUCCCUUGCAAAGAAAAAAAAAAGACUUCUGUUUCCCGUUUUUUUUAGUUUUUGCUGCAUCUCCUGGUUUACAAUGUCCUUUUGCUCAAAAUAAUCCAUAUUCCAAAGUGGCAUAUUUGGGGUAGUAUAUUCUGAUACCCCUUAACACCAUCACCAUGUAAGUUCCAUAUGCUAAGAGUGUAAGAGUGUGUUUCCUGAUCUAUAAUUUAAAUUUUACACCAGGGAAGCAGCAUGUGUUGGUCACUGAUUUAACAAUAAACUGACCAACUCAUAUUACUGUCAAACUUAACCUGAGGCAGUCAUGUAGAAACUACUCUCUCUACUUAAACAUUCCCAAAUCACAUUUAUAGAGAAGAAAUUUUACAGUAAUUGUAGCAUUUUUACAGUGUUCUAGCAAUUUCAUAGUCAUUUUAAGUAAGUUUACACAUUGAUUUGAAACAAUAUCCAUCUAUACGAUGUGGACGAGUGAGUCCGAAUACACUCCAAACAGAGACGGAGUGUUUAUCGCAUGCCAACUUGGAGACAGGCAUUCACCCAUUUUAGUUAGUCCUCCCAGCAACUCCAUGUAUGGUAAUGCUACCCCAGUGAGAAAACCAUGAUAAAGAUUCUUUCCACCUGCCCUGUACUAUGCACCUUAAAUGGAGAAAUCAAGGCUCAGAUGUAGCUCUGUGUGUCUCCAAGUCCGUGUCCAUUACUAACCUGCUACUUACUAGGCAGUUUGUCUCAGUACUGGAGUGGUUCUCAAAACGUGACUCCCUCACUCCAGAUCGGCAGCAUCAGCAGCACCUGGGAACUAGCUAGAUAUGCAAAAAGUUGGCUCCUUCCCAGAUCUGCUACAUUAGAGAUUCUGAAGGUGGAGCCCAGCAAGUGAUUCUGGGGCCCACGCAAGUGUGACAGACAACUGCACUAUAAGACCCACGGGAGAGAGUGGAAACUUCAGGAGACAGAAGAGCGUGGGAUGAGAGGGGAGGGUGGGUAUAAACUGGCCCAUUUCUGGUAAGAACCCAGUAUCACAGCAUCCUCCGUUAGGCAAUCAUGUCUGCACUGCAGCUAUAGGAACACACAUGAAAAAGGAUAUGCCAAGAAUCUCUUGACCAAGUUGGUGAUAAAGCAAAUCCGCGAUACUGAAAUGAACGUCUUCCAACAGGAUGCCACUACAUAGUCAAGGGAAUUCCAAAAUGCCAAACGAAAUAGCCCUACCCCGAGUCUUUAGGUCAGCCUCUCCCCAAGUUUGUGUCUGACACUUGGAGCACACCUAUGCACAAAAGAAGUGAGAUCCAAUCAAUUAGAGAACCUGUCCACCACAGCUCUUUCACAAGACAAUUUAACAUAGUAAAGAGUGAAGGAUAUUUACACACUGGCCCAAAGACCCCUUUUCUUCACGUAAAUGCCUGGUAACAUCCUACUGAACCCGUGCUCUUGGGUAAAACAGCUAAGACACCAGAAGUGGAGACACAGUUGCUAUUUAGGGAACCGGCCACUGCUUUCCCCUCCUCCACAUCAGCUGAAGCUGUGGCUUUGUCGGUUCUGGAUGGUCAACAAUUGGGAAAGCCCAAAAUGUUCAUAAAAUUCCCCUUAAAUUGAGUCAAUUAAGUUUAAAGAUUCCUCGUGAAGUUGCUCUGGAAUAAAAAAAGUCAGUAGCACAGCAAGAAUUGGACUUUCUAUAUCAGAGGAGACCCUGCCCUGAGCAAGGUGUGUCCGGCAGCAAAACCCCCUCCUGUGAGGGAUGUGGCAUCUGACAGCAACCAUGGCAAGACAUGUCUCAUCUCCUUCUGCCCUGCAUGUUCAUCUUUCUCCUAAGAAGGUCUCAUUUCCUGAUUAAAGCAAUAGCUGGGUUAGUUAACAAAAACAUGUGAAGUCUGUAAUUUUUUAAUGUGAGCCCAGUGAAUGAAACACAAAGGGAAAAAGUUAAAAAAACAAAAUGGCCAGCUCUCUAAGCAAUGGUACACUCUUUUCAAGACUUCUAGCUUCAGGAGUUCAGAGCCACGCAGGACUGGGCAGGUGGAAGAGCAGCCAGAAAAAGCGGCCUGGGCUCAGAGUUGGCAGAGGGACGAAGGGAAGUGUGGGUUUCCAGCCUGGUUAGAUCUUGUCCUCUUGUCACCCACACUAGAGGGCUCACGGCGCUGCCAGGUGUAGCCUCGCCCUAGACCUAGCCUCCCUGGAGGAAGCAAUCUCAGGGAGACGGGAGGGAAUGUCUCAAGAGCUGAGAGCAGCAAGAUACAGCCUUAAACAAAGACCUACUCAAAACACCGAACUAAAAGAAGCUUCAGGAGUUCCCACCGCGGCUCAGCGGGAGACCAAUCUGGCUAGGAUCCAUGAGGAUGCAGGUUCCAUCCCUGGCCUUGCUCAGUGGGUGAAGGAUAUGGCAUUGCCAUGAGCUAUAUGGUAUAGGUUGCAGACUCAGCUCAGAUCCUGCGUGGCUGUGGCUGUGGUAUAAUCCGGCAGCUGUAGCCCCAAUUCGACUCCUAGCCUGGGAACUUCCAUAUGCCGUGGGUGCAGCCCUAAAAAAAAAAAAAAAAAAAAAA